Molecule: non-coding RNA, 766 nt
Organism: Macaca mulatta (Rhesus monkey)
Lineage: Eukaryota; Metazoa; Chordata; Mammalia; Primates; Cercopithecidae
Source: RefSeq, a predicted model, not a curated record
AGCUGCAAUGGCUGCAGGCUCCUGGACAUGCCUAAUUCUGGCUAUUGCCCUGCUCUGCCUACCUUGGCUUCAAGAGGGCAGUGCCUUCCCAACCAUUCCCUUAUCCUGGCUUUUUAACACGCUGUGUUCUGCGCCCAUCACCUGCACAAGCUGCAUCUGACACGUACCGAAGUUUCGAAGAAGCCUAUAUCCCAAAGGAACAGAAGUAUUCAUUCCUGCGCAACCCCGAGACCUCCCUCUGCUUCUCAGAGUCUAUUCCGACACCCUCCAACAAGGAGGAAACACAGCAGAAAUCCAACCUAGAGCUGCUCCACAUCUCCCUGCUGCUCAUCCAGUCGUGGCUGGAGCCCGUGCAGUUACUCAGGAGUGUGUUUACCAACAACCUGGUGUAUGCACUCGAACUUCAACGUCUAUCUCUACCUAAAGAACCUAGAGGAAGGCAUCCAAACGCUGAUGUGGAGGCUGGAAGACGGCAGCCCCCGGACUGGGCAGAUCUUCAAGCAGACCUACAGCAAGUUUGACACAAACUCGCACAACGAUGACACACUGCUCAAGAACUACAGGCUGCUCUACUGCUUCAGGAAGGACAUGAACAAGGUCGAGACAUUCCUGUGCACCGUGCGGUGCCGCGCUGUGGAGGGCAGCUGUGGCUUCUAGAUGCCUGGGUGGCAUCCCUUGUGACCCCUCCCAAUUGCCACUCCUGGCCAUGGAAGGUGCCACUCCAGUGUCCAACAGCCUUGUCCUAAUAAAAUUAAGUUGCAUCAUU